UCCUUGGAAAAAAAUUAUAGAAAAAUGUUCCAUUUCUGAAACGGGAAUUAUCUACUUUUUUUUUUUUGCAAAAAGGUGCAAGCAAAUACCGAAGAGAUGUCAGUUUCCUUGCGCAUGACUAUGAAUAAAGUAGAAGCAAUGUGCGUAUUGAGCUUAAACAUGUGGAAAAGAACGAAGUUUCCCUGUUGGAACUGUAAAGGAAACUAAUCUCCGGCAUCGGUCGAGGUAUUUUAAGUGGCUCCGGGUGCGCAGGCAGGUCAAAAUAAACAAGGCCGCACUCAGAGAGCCACACGGCCGCAGAGGGGGCGGCGGCACACUGGAGGUCGGUCGGUGGCCGUUUUAGUCAAAGCAAGGGAUUUAUUUCGGAAUGAAGGGGAAAGAAAGGAGAAAAGCAAAGAAUAUCCUACGCUGACGUGAAUGAGUGAAGAAAAUGUUUUAUUAAGAGAAGCAGCGCACCUUCCCACAAGAGAGGAAGUAGGAAACUGUAUACAGUCAAAAAUAACAACAGGAGAAGUUGACAUUCAAACUCCGGACUAAUGGCGAACCCGCCGCAGAAAACGCUGGAAGCGGGGAUCACUUUUUUCUUUGUUGCCACAACGACAUUUCUUUUGCCAGGAGGGACAACGCCCAACGUGUAUCCUCGUUUUAAGACUUAAAACUAUUCAAGAACAUACACCUCGAAAGUGGAGGGGAGUUGUGAAAGUUUAAAAGCCGGUUUAUUCCGUUUAAAAAGAGGAGACUUUCACAUCGCUAGACGGGUUUUUCGGGCGGCCUUUCCGUCUGAAUAAGUGACAUUGGCCCGCACAUCAAAAUGGAUGCCAGAUCGCGAUUGACAUCAAAAACUCCUUAUAUGGAAGGAAACUUCCCAAAUUCCUGAAUGGUGGGAGUGAUCCGCCGGACUCCUCCCUGCAUACCAGACACUCAGCGGACGAGACCAAUUGUCGCAGUCUUUUGACUCACUGUCGAACAGAAGAAGAAAAAAUAAGUAGUUUAUAAGCUACUGGGCUGACGUAAUGUCGGUGAUAUGAGGUUGAAGAUAAUAGAUCCAGCUUGCAGCUUAAACAGCUUCACACGCCAGGGCUGUUUUUAGAACGGCUCUAUAAUGUCUGAAUCGAAACAGUUCCUUGUGCAGUAUUGCUUCCUUCUUUGCAUACCAAUGCCAGUGCGUAAUUUACCUGGACUGAACGUUGGUCUCACAGAGAACUGAGAGUCUGGUCUGCAACAUCGAGCUGUUUUUGUAAUCAAUGCCAGAUUGUUCAAAGAGAAAACAGUAUGAAAAUCACUUCAUUGAAGGAGUUUCAUCAACACAUAUUUUUUCUCAAAGGAGGCCCACACACUGAACCACAUUCCAGGUUGUUUUCGCAGACGAGGCGUAAUCUAGUUAUGGACCAUUGGACCUUUGGUGUAAAGACACAGCCAUUCACAUUGGCUCACAAACUUGCAGCUGGUUACCUUAGAAAUGACCUUCGUUCCAGCUACUCUGGUUCGACGGUCCGCGUACUUUUCUGAGACCUGAAUUAAUUAAAGCAAAGCAUGUUGGAGA
Gasterosteus aculeatus aculeatus (three-spined stickleback) is the source of this 1543-nucleotide long non-coding RNA. RefSeq lists it as uncharacterized. The record is from RefSeq and is a predicted model, not a curated record. Lineage: Eukaryota; Metazoa; Chordata; Actinopteri; Perciformes; Gasterosteidae.